CCCUUAGAUGUUCUGGGCCGCACGCGCGCUACACUGUUCGACGCAGCGAGUCUUAACCUUGACCGAAAGGUUUGGGUAAUCUUCAGCAAAGUCGAACGUGAUGGGGAUCGAUCAUUGCAAUUAUUGAUCGUGAACGAGGAAUUCCUAGUAAGUGCAAGUCAUCAGCUUGCGCUGAUUACGUCCCUGCCCCUUGUACACACCGCCCGUCGCUACUACCGAUUGAAUGGUUUAGUGAGAUCUCUGGAUUGACGCUGGCUAGGGGGCGACCCUUGGCCAGACUGUUGAGAAACUGCUCAAACUUGAUCAUUUAGAGGAAGUAAAAGUCGUAACA
Molecule: ribosomal RNA, 331 nt
Filed under: uncultured eukaryote
Lineage: Eukaryota
Description: partial 18S ribosomal RNA
Rfam family: Eukaryotic small subunit ribosomal RNA
Source: RNAcentral